UGGGGAAUUUUGCACAAUGGGGGAAACCCUGAUGCAGCGACGCCGCGUGAUUUAGAAGGCCUUCGGGUUGUAAAAAUCUUUUCUAUGGGAAGAAAAUGACAGUACCAUAGGAAUAAGGACCGGCUAAUUACGUGCCAGCAGCCGCGGUAAUACGUAAGGUCCGAGCGUUGUCCGGAAUCAUUGGGCGUAAAGGGUACGUAGGCGGGUAAGCAAGUUAGAAGUGAAAUCCUAUAGCUCAACUAUAGUAAGCUUUUAAAACUGCUGAUCUUGAGGUAUGGAAGGGAAAGGGGAAUUCCUAGUGUAGCGGUGAAAAGCGCAGAUAUUAGGAGGAAUACCGGUGGCGAAGGCGACUUUCUGGCCAUAACCUGACGCUGAGGUACGAAAGCGUGGGUAGCAAACAGG
This 402-nucleotide ribosomal RNA is filed under the name bacterium. Its description in RNAcentral is "partial 16S ribosomal RNA". It matches the Rfam family "Bacterial small subunit ribosomal RNA", at positions 355 to 776 of the family's 1533-position model. The record is from RNAcentral.